RNAcentral lists this ribosomal RNA (468 nucleotides) under uncultured bacterium. RNAcentral describes it as "bacterial SSU rRNA". It matches the Rfam family "Bacterial small subunit ribosomal RNA", at positions 26 to 507 of the family's 1533-position model. The record is from RNAcentral.
AGGACGAACGCUGGCGGCGUGCUUAACACAUGCAAGUCGAACGGUGACGAAUGGAGCUUGCUCUGUUCUGAUCAGUGGCGAACGGGUGAGUAACACGUGAGUAACCUGCCCCUGACUCUGGAAUAACUUCGGGAAACCGAAGCUAAUACCGGAUAUGACACAGAGCCGCAUGGUUUCUGUGUGGAAAGUUUUUCGGUUGGGGAUGGACUCGCGGCCUAUCAGCUUGUUGGUGAGGUAAUGGCUCACCAAGGCGACGACGGGUAGCCGGCCUGAGAGGGCGACCGGCCACACUGGGACUGAGACACGGCCCAGACUCCUACGGGAGGCAGCAGUGGGGAAUAUUGCACAAUGGGCGAAAGCCUGAUGCAGCGACGCCGCGUGAGGGAUGACGGCCUUCGGGUUGUAAACCUCUUUCAGCAGGGACGAAUGUAGACGGUACCUGUAGAAGAAGCACCGGCCAACUACGUG